AGUUUGAUCCUGGCUCAGGAUGAACGCUGGCGGCGUGCUUAACACAUGCAAGUCGAACGGUGAAGCCAAGCUUGCUUGGUGGAUCAGUGGCGAACGGGUGAGUAACACGUGAGCAACCUGCCCUGGACUCUGGGAUAAGCGCUGGAAACGGCGUCUAAUACUGGAUAUGAGCCUCUUCCGCAUGGUGGGGGUUGGAAAGAUUUUUUGGUCUGGGAUGGGCUCGCGGCCUAUCAGCUUGUUGGUGAGGUAAUGGCUCACCAAGGCGUCGACGGGUAGCCGGCCUGAGAGGGUGACCGGCCACACUGGGACUGAGACACGGCCCAGACUCCUACGGGAGGCAGCAGUGGGGAAUAUUGCACAAUGGGCGAAAGCCUGAUGCAGCAACGCCGCGUGAGGGAUGACGGCCUUCGGGUUGUAAACCUCUUUUAGCAGGGAAGAAGCGAAAGUGACGGUACCUGCAGAAAAAGCGCCGGCUAACUACGUGCCAGCAGCCGCGGUAA
This 500-nucleotide ribosomal RNA is filed under the name uncultured bacterium. Its description in RNAcentral is "bacterial SSU rRNA". It matches the Rfam family "Bacterial small subunit ribosomal RNA", at positions 10 to 523 of the family's 1533-position model. The record is from RNAcentral.